GCCAGACUCCUACGGGAGGCAGCAGUGGGGAAUAUUGCACAAUGGGGGAAACCCUAAUGCAGCGACGCCGCGUGAGCGAGGAAGUAUUUCGGUAUGUAAAGCUCUGUCAGCAGGGAAGAAGAAUGACGGUACCUGAAGAAGAAGCACCGGCUAAAUACGUGCCAGCAGCCGCGGUAAUACGUAUGGUGCAAGCGUUAUCCGGAUUUACUGGGUGUAAAGGGAGCGCAGGCGGUUCUGCAAGUCUGAUGUGAAAGCCCGGGGCUCAACCGCGGGACUGCAUUGGAAACUGCGGGACUGGAGUGUCGGAGGGGUAAGCGGAAUUCCUGGUGUAGCGGUGAAAUGCGUAGAUAUCAGGAGGAACACCGGUGGCGAAGGCGGCUUACUGGACGAUGACUGACGCUGAGGCUCGAAAGCGUGGGGAGCAAACAGGAUUAGAUACCCGAGUA
This 446-nucleotide ribosomal RNA is filed under the name uncultured bacterium. RNAcentral's name for it is "partial 16S ribosomal RNA". It matches the Rfam family "Bacterial small subunit ribosomal RNA", at positions 330 to 792 of the family's 1533-position model. The record is from RNAcentral.